Long non-coding RNA from Triticum aestivum (bread wheat), 3337 nucleotides. RefSeq lists it as uncharacterized. Lineage: Eukaryota; Viridiplantae; Streptophyta; Magnoliopsida; Poales; Poaceae. The transcript has 3 exons. The record is from RefSeq and is a predicted model, not a curated record.
GGGGAGGAGCAGCAGCAGGGCAAGGCGGCGACGAGUGGGCGCCCGCCCUCCCCGUCUGCGAGCUGAUCCCCGGGCACGGCGGCGGCUCCCGAGCCCUCCUGCUCCGACCCCGCGGAGUGCUCGAGUCUGGAGGGGCAGCAGACGGUGGUGGGCGCUUGCGCCGCCGCCAUCUCCUUCGUCCUUCCCGCCCGACCCCCGACGCUCACUUCCCCGGGCGUCGUCGCCGUCGUCCACAACCACCGCCACCGCGCCCCCACCCUCUCCCCAUCGCUGCAGGGCCCCACCUUCUCCCAAUCCCCUCACCCUUCUCUCCCGUGGCCAGUGGAUUCGCCCCUCACGGGAUCGAUUCUUGUGUUUGUAUUUGUUGGAUUGCUUGCUUAUGUCUAAUGAAGAGAGUAUAUGUCCUGCCGUUAUUCUGAUUUAGUUCCUUAGGUUAAUAUAAUUUUAUUGUGGUUUUUUUACAGAUGUUUCAUUUUACCUAGGGAUAAAAAGUGCAAUAUAAAGGUUCAUUAAACAAACUGAACUUAUAUAUGAUCAUUUAGGUGCUGAAUUUGUCUAUCUGAACUUUAUUGGUACUGAAAUUAUCUCAUAUAAAGUAAGUGAUUCAUUUCCCCUCGAGUGGAUAAACAUAUAGUGGAAGAAGGGCUUCUAUGUCGUACCCAUGCCUUCAUAUUUAGUUCCAUGCUAAAGGAUCACUAAAUCUCGGCUCCUCCAUUGUUUUUCUUAUCAAACUAGAGGGCUUCAUAAAUAUUGUAUAUAUGUCUUACCAAGACAUUUUCUAAGUAACAUAGUGAGGCAUGCAUUUGAUCCUUGGGGAGAAGCUAACCUGAAUUGCAUAUUGGUUAUGUGAGAAGUGCCCUCUCUCCCUCUCUCAUGGUGUGUUUCUUCCUCCUUUGUGUGUUUUCUUAAAUAGGGGGAGGGGGCGUCGAUAUGCCAAGCAGGAAGAAAGCUGGAUCCGGAUGCAAGGGGCAGGCGGACAGACAAUAAGUGCCCUCUCUCGCAUGGUGUGUUUCUUCCUCCUCUGUGUGUUUUCUUAAAUAGGGGGAGGGGUUGUCGAUAUGCCAAGCAGGAAGAAAGCUGGAUCCGGAUGCAAGGGGCAGGCGGACAGACAAUAAGGUGUGUGCCGACUACACAACUGUAGUAUACAACUGCCAACCUUUUUUGUUUUAGUGAGAUAUUUUUUUGUGAUGUUUCCUCUAGACACAAACCAUAAUUGUUUCGAAUAUAACUACCAUUUUUUAUUUCUUGGGAGUGUAUUUCUGUGCAAGGGGGGAUUUAAUUUGAUAGUCCAUGUCAGCAGUUGCCAUGUUUUUUAACCGUUUUGACCAUAUUAACCAUUGAGUGGUUGUCAGAUUAAUCAUACCUUGUUGUCAUGUGUUUUUUCGUAUGACCUUGCCAUGUUUAUAAACCCGUAGUUGCUUGGCAUUUGGAAUUGGGAAUUUUGGUCACUUCUAUAGAUCCUGGUAGGACCUACCAUUUUGGUCACUUUUAUAGAUCCUGGUUGUGCUCAAAUUUACACGGGGUGGCUAUCUCUCUUCUAUACAUUGUUGUCUCCUUAGGAAAUUGAAAAGCUUCUCUUGGUCACCCCAUAUUCAGCAGCUCAAAAACACAUGUUGGUAGCAUGCUUGGCGCAAUGCAAAAAUCAGUGUUGUGUGAAAUAUUCAGUCUGUAUUUCUGCUAAUGGAGUUUUAGGAUAGUUCUGAGUUUUGUAAUCCUAGAGAUUGUUCUUCAUUCUUCUUGCAGGUGUAAUUUAUAUUGUAUGAUGCAUUGUCAAAGAGUACCGUUGUGAUAAUUUAACUGAAAAUAUGAGUUUAUAAGCUCAAAUUGUUCCGGUUCAGUUUAUAAGAAUUAUUUAGGAUCUCUGCUACUGCGAUUUUCAUGAUCCAAUUAUAGUUUAUAAGCUCAAACUGUUCCUGUUCCUGAUCCAAAUUGUGCUGGAGUACUCUCUGCCUCUUGAGUGCAGGAAAAUGCCUCAAUUAAUUAGUUUGUCGCUCCGUUAGUCGCCAUGGUCAGAUGAUGCUUCAGGUUUGCACUUCACAUUGAGGUAUAGAAGGUAAAACUUGAAUAUAGCCUCCUGCAACAUUAUAAGAUUACUUUGUGGUACAAAAUAUCAUGCAUUGUCUUACACAUAAUCGUUGGCCAUUCUAAAAAUAUGGAUUCUACAUUGAAUUUGUCUUGGACUUCUUAAUUUAACCUCUGUGCAUGUUCUUAUGACAUUGAAUUUGAGCGAGCGAGCGAGAGGAGUACAUUACUUAUUCCACUUCUAAGCUACGCUUGUGCCCCUGUUCCUACGAAGUGUAUGGACGUGCCUAUAACUAAACAUAAAAAUAGGAUAGACACUAAAUCCUUUGAAGGAGCAGAGAUUGUAACUACACAGAAGUACACUGGACUAACAAUAUGUUUACUACCAUUUUUUCGUGAAUAGAGUAGUGACAAUAAGAUUGUUACUUGAUGUACAGAGUCACAGUAUAUGAGUUGUAUUUGACCUUUUAUAUGAUCUCACCUUUACUAUUCCCAGUCAUCGUAUGUUUUGCCGGAUUAUUUUAACGCAAUUUUGUUUCUCAGAGCACUGGUAGCAACCACAUCAUGAAAGGGUCGACGAACGACGAUCCGAUAUGCGUUGCCGAGAGUGAAGCUCAUGGGUUGGCUCCCUCUUCCCCAUCGGACCUGGCAGGAGGAUGAGCGCCCUUCCCCGCGACCUGCCGCACACCCCCUGUCGCCGUGCCACCGCCGUCGCCCUGACCCCCAUCCUCGACCUCACGCUGCCCAGCGUCUCCUCCCUACCCCCUUGGCACUCGGUAGGAGGAGUGCAGGAAGCUCGUGGGUCACCUCCCUCCUCCUCUGUAUGCUUGGGCUCACGCAGACACACUAUGUAACAGCCUAACAGGUUGGUCCUUGAGCCCCGCAAUCUGUUCGAUGUUUUGUGCACUAGGGAGUGGGCUCACAGGCUGAUGCAGCUUAAGUAAUUUGCGUCCAUGAUUAAGUGUUCAGGCACUGGGUUAAUUCCUUCUGGUCUCAUGUGCAGAGUUGUUACUGGUGGAAUGAAUGAUUUGGUUUAGUAUGGUGGUGCACAGAAUUGUUGAUAUUGGAGUCAGUUACCUUUACAUGCUUAAACACUCUGUUAAUUGUCUGCAGUACAGAAUUUGCAUGUUGUUGCAACAAAUGGUUUGGUUUAGAGUUUUCAUAUAGUGUGAAGAAGAUCAAUAGUAAGUGGAAUGGAUCAGUCUGUUAAGUUUUAUCCAAUGUUGUUCUUGGCCUAAACGAUUUGGUCCAGUCCUGUAAGAGAGCAAUAGCAUCCGGAUCCAAAGUAAUUAGUCGUGACGUUUGUUGGCAUAAU